This 279-nucleotide ribosomal RNA is filed under the name uncultured Staphylococcus sp. RNAcentral's name for it is "partial 16S ribosomal RNA". It matches the Rfam family "Bacterial small subunit ribosomal RNA", at positions 83 to 354 of the family's 1533-position model. The record is from RNAcentral. Lineage: Bacteria; Bacillati; Bacillota; Bacilli; Caryophanales; Staphylococcaceae.
CCUUUGACGUUAGCGGCGGACGGGUGAGUAACACGUGGGUAACCUACCUAUAAGACUGGGGUAACUUCGGGAAACCGGAGCUAAUACCGGAUAAUAUUUCGAACCGCAUGGUUCGAUAGUGAAAGAUGGUUUUGCUAUCACUUAUAGAUGGACCUGCGCCGUAUUAGCUAGUUGGUAAGGUAACGGCUUACCAAGGCGACGAUACGUAGCCGACCUGAGAGGGUGAUCGGCCACACUGGAACUGAGACACGGUCCAGACUCCUACGGGAGGCAGCAGGC